CUGAGUCCCAGUGGUCAGAGCAUG
This 24-nucleotide unclassified non-coding RNA is filed under the name Mus musculus (house mouse). RNAcentral describes it as "oocyte_clustered_small_RNA7807". Lineage: Eukaryota; Metazoa; Chordata; Mammalia; Rodentia; Muridae. The record is from RNAcentral.